This 788-nucleotide long non-coding RNA is filed under the name Citrus sinensis (sweet orange). RNAcentral's name for it is "long non-coding RNA (CSIN_LNC004917)". Lineage: Eukaryota; Viridiplantae; Streptophyta; Magnoliopsida; Sapindales; Rutaceae. The record is from RNAcentral.
UGGGAGUGGACCAAUACAAAAUUACAAAUGAUGUCAGAAUUUCACACAAGUUUGAUAUACUUAAAUCACAUAAACUUAUGUUGUGUUUACCAACCCGGAACGGGAGAAUCAGAAUGAACAACUUCUUUACCUAUUAAAUUGAGGCUCUGAUAAGGAAGGAGCUUUGCGGGCCCGACAUAAAUUUUGGAUUGAUUGCUGGAGUUCUGAUUCCAGGAGGGAGAUUGAAUCAAACCCCAUUCCUGGAAUGACAAAAUUAUCCCACUACUUUUAAUAUUCACAAAAUAUUCUUUUGGAAAUUAAAAAAAAAAAAACUGAAAACCUAAGCAACAGCUGCUGCCCUAAGGGAAAUGAUCAGACUCGUCGUCGCCGUUGCUCGUGCUUGUCACCGACAUCAUAGCUGCUCGUGCUCAUUGCCUACAUCACAGCUGUUCGUGCUCGCGCUUGUCGUCGCGUUUCUCCCUUCGUCACACACUUGUCGUCGUCCACACAUCGCAACAGCCCGUCACCGAUUGGAUUUGCGCACCUCCGUCACGCAUCGUCGUCGUCCCACAUCAAAGCUCGUCAUCAGGUGACCUAAUUUGCGCUCCUCAUCACCGAUCGUCCCCACAUUUAUUUGUUAAUGCAAUUGUUAUUAAGAUUAAUUAUUUCUGUUUUGGUUAUUAAUUAUUACUAUUAUUUAUUACUAUUUAUUUAUUAUUAAUAAUAUUAUUAUUACUAUCAUCAUCAUCAAAUGACAAUAUUAUAAAAAGAGCAUUUUAAUAAAUUAAAAUUGUUCAUUCCAAUUCCCA